Canis lupus familiaris (dog) is the source of this 2774-nucleotide long non-coding RNA. RefSeq lists it as uncharacterized. The record is from RefSeq and is a predicted model, not a curated record. The transcript is spliced from 4 exons. Lineage: Eukaryota; Metazoa; Chordata; Mammalia; Carnivora; Canidae.
GGCGGGGCCGUCCCGAGCGGGACUAGGGUGAAGGUGAGGAUACCCGGUGCGAUGGCCUUUGUUUGGAGUGUGAAGGAAAGAACCCAACAGUUUGUAAGUCCUGAUGAAAUCUGCCAGAAGGAUUACUCAGAAAUGAUACUGGAUUAGAAAAUAUCUCCUGUAGCCGCCACAUUGAUGUGAGCUGAGAAGCCGAGUCGUGCAGUCAUUGACUGUCCUUCGUCACCCUGUAAAGUGGCUUAAGUGAGAUCCUGUCUCGGAGGCACCGGCUUCUCUCCUUCCUCGUGUGCAGGUGUUUCCACAGCAUCCUGUAUACACCUUCUGCAGGUUCUCAAGGGUCGCAGUGCCUCAGUUGUCUUUCCUGAUUCAGGAUUAUGGAAUCCCAGCUGUUGUUACAAAGGAAGUCAAGUCUGCAUUGCCUCCUAUCCCUCAGAUGGUAUCAUCAUCAUUAAUCCUGAAGCUAGACAAAGGUAAAGUCCAUGAGUGACAACUACCCACUUCUUCUCUCACUGAAUGCAGAAAUGAUUUGGAAAGAAGCACAGUAGUCUUAAUGGCGAUGAAAUCCUUAGUUUCUGACAAGGAGCUGCCAUCUCUUUGGACAUAACCUGCAGUCUUUCUGGUACCUGAGUGAAUGAUCAUGAAAACCCUAUUUCUUACCUUAACCCAGUCUUAUCAUGGUAAUAUUUCAUUAUGUUUCAUUCACCUUGGAACUUAUCCUCCUUUCUUUUUUUUCUGCCUCUCUCUACUUUCUUCUUCUUAAGCAAGAAAAAUAUAGGCAAGGAAUGGAUGAUGAGAAAACAUUUUGUAAAGGGAAAGGGCUAUAUCAAUGUGUGGGUUACUUGUGAUAAGGGCAUGAAAUUAAGGUGUGUCGACAGGGGCCAGGAAGAGAUGCAGGCAACAAUCUGUGUGCACAUUCGUUUUAUGAAGUAGUUUGCUAUGAUAUUGCAAUGCUUUUGAAUGUUCCUGGAAGGUAUUCCCGACUUUUUUUGGUAAAGAUUUUAUUCAUUUCCUCAUGAGAGAUACAGAGAGAGGCAGAGAAGCAGGCUCCCUGCAGGGAGCCCAAUGUGGGACUCCAUCCCAGGACCCCGGGAUCACGACCUGAGCCAAAGGCAGACACUCAACUACUGAGCCACCCAGGUGCCCCUAUUCCUGAGUUUUCACAUUUCAAACCCGAAAUUCAAAUUUCAAGUCUUUUGAGAAACUGUGUUUAAGCUUAAAAUUCAUGGUAUUUUAACUGGAAAGAAAAGUUCUGAUCCAAGAAUUACAGGCCAAGUGGAUUUCACCACCUUCAUGAGCCUCUGGAAGUCUCAGAGCGCUCCCGUGUGACAGAGUGAGGCUAGAAUCUGCUGCCCAUGUUUUGCAAGGAGGUUCUGGGGAGGGGGCAGCCGGGGGAAUGUGUGGAGGAGCUGUCCAGCCAGUGGGAGCCAAACAACUACCCAGCACUUGCGUGUGGGCCUGACACAUUUUUAAAUAAUCACACUGAGAGGGAACCAUCACUGUGCCCAUUUUACUGCUGAAGAAACUGAGUUUUGAGCAAUUAAUGAACUUGUCCAAUCCUACAACUGGUAAUAGAAGGAUUUGCCAUUGAAACCCUGGCAGUCUGGCUCCAGGGAGGGCCCCCAUUUUCAACCACCGUAAGACUGCCUCUCUGAUACUGACACAUAUACUAUUACCCAUGUUGUGUGGAAAUAAACUUCCAAGCCCAGAAGGGAGCUGCUUCAAGAGGGAGUUAUGUCAGCAAACUGAAACUUGGAUGACUUGUGUCCCUGUAAGUGCUUGGCUUGAGCAGAAACGCAGUCUCUUCAUUCAGCCAAUCCCCAAAUGCCACACCAGCUCUGGGCCUUCUCACCCCAAAAGGGUGGACUUCGCUACCCAGGCCAAUCUGGUACUUUCUAUUUGCAUUUUCUUCCUUCUUUAUCCUUUAAAAGCUUCUUGUCUUCCGCCCCACUUUGCAGUUCUCUGAAAGGAGACUGUUCACUCAAUGAAAUGUCAAAUAAAGUUUGUAUCACCUAAAUUGUCUCCCGUAAACAUUGUUUAACAGAGGUAAGAUGUUAAAUGGGGGACGACAGCCAGUACUUUAAGAUGGCCAAUGUUAGAUGUCAAAACAAAUUGCUGGACCAAAGUGCAUUUUUUCCAAAUUGGGUUGGUGAGCAUGUUUUAGAAAUUGCAAACUCUUUACCAGCAUCGGGGUCAAGGGUGGACAGUUGGGAUAGAAAGGAGAUGUGUGCAGAGAUCUGGGGGGAGCUGUUGCCAUACUCUCUCCACCCUCAAGGAGGCUGGGCAGUGCUCAGGCCUUCACCUCACACCUGGACACCGAGGCAUAGACAGACUCCUCAGAGAACUGAGGUUAGGGAGAUAGGGGACUGGCAUUUGCUGCUCGGGGAAUCUAGAGAACAGAAUAACUGGAGGGUAGGACAUGGGUUGAUGGAGAUUGGUGUUACACUGAGAGAAAACUCAGACUUUGUUUUUCACGGACACAGAGGCAGCCCCCAUGGGAGAGGGUAAGUAGUCGGAGCCCUCUGGCUUCUAGUCAAAGCCCUUUGACUCCAAAUCAAGAGGACUAUCUAGAAGCCACUAAGAGGGCCAAGGUGACCUCCCCACUCUCCGACCCUGGAGGGAAAAGUGAGGGUGGCUAGUGAGUGGCAGCAGAGGCCAAUGGGAAAGAACGAACCGGGACCGGCUGGUUCACCUUCUGUAACUGGUCCCAGCUGGCGAAGGGGAUAUUUAGCUACCUAAUUAAGACCACUGUCGUUGCAACUGAACUUGCCCUUUAGCUU